AGUCUCCACUGCCUCCUGAAGAAGAGGCAAAAGAUGAGGAGGAGGAUCAAACUCUUGUGAACCUGGACACGUGUAUGUAUAAGGCAGACAGACUGUGGUUUUUAACUAAUCUCCUAAAAGUGAUUUUGGAGAUUAAAACUUCAUAGCCUAUAAAUUCUAUGAGACUUUGUAUCCACUACAACAACUGGUAUACUUAUGCUCUGUUGGCGGCUUACAAGUAUUGGACAUUGGAGUAAACUGAUUGCUUCUUUCUUUACAGAUACCUCGGAUCUGCAUUUUCAAGUGAGCAAAGACCGCUAUGGAGGGCAGCCACUUUUCUCAGAGAAGUUCCCCACCCUUUGGUCUGGGGCAAGGAGUACUUACGGAGUGACAAAGGGAAAAGUCUGCUUUGAGGCAAAGGUAACCCAGAAUCUCCCAAUGAAAGAAGGCUGCACAGAGG
Molecule: long non-coding RNA, 439 nt
Filed under: Homo sapiens (human)
Lineage: Eukaryota; Metazoa; Chordata; Mammalia; Primates; Hominidae
Description: non-protein coding lnc-HNRNPUL2-BSCL2-1:2
Source: RNAcentral